Molecule: non-coding RNA, 135 nt
Organism: Triticum aestivum (bread wheat)
Lineage: Eukaryota; Viridiplantae; Streptophyta; Magnoliopsida; Poales; Poaceae
Source: Rfam
UUUCUACUCCCUCCGUCCGAAAAUACUUGUCAUCAAAAUGGAUAAAAAUAGAUGUAUCUAAAACUAAAAUACGUCUAGAUACAUUUCCUUUUAUCCAUUUUGAUGAGAAGUAUUUCCGGAUGGUGGGAGUAUUUG